CCUACGGGCUGCAGCAGUGGGGAAUAUUGGACAAUGGGCGAAAGCCUGAUCCAGCAAUGCCGCGUGUGUGAAGAAGGUCUUCGGAUUGUAAAGCACUUUCGACGGGGACGAUGAUGACGGUACCCGUAGAAGAAGCCCCGGCUAACUCCGUGCCAGCAGCCGCGGUAAGACGGGGGGGGCAAGUGUUCUUCGGAAUGACUGGGCGUAAAGGGCGCGUAGGCGGUUUAUGCAGUCAGAUGUGAAAUCCCCGGGCUUAACCUGGGAACUGCAUUUGAGACGCAUAGACUAGAGGUCGAGAGAGGGUUGUGGAAUUCCCAGUGUAGAGGUGAAAUUCGUAGAUAUUGGGAAGAACACCGGUGGCGAAGGCGGCAACCUGGCUCGAUACUGACGCUGAGGCGCGAAAGCGUGGGGAGCAAACAGGAUUAGAUACCCUCGUAGUC
Molecule: ribosomal RNA, 440 nt
Filed under: uncultured bacterium
Lineage: Bacteria
Description: bacterial SSU rRNA
Rfam family: Bacterial small subunit ribosomal RNA
Source: RNAcentral